AGUGAACGCUGGCGGUAGGCCUAACACAUGCAAGUCGAACGGCAGCACAGGAGAGCUUGCUCUCUGGGUGGCGAGUGGCGGACGGGUGAGGAAUACAUCGGAAUCUACUUUUUCGUGGGGGAUAACGUAGGGAAACUUACGCUAAUACCGCAUACGACCUACGGGUGAAAGCAGGGGAUCUUCGGACCUUGCGCGAUUGAAUGAGCCGAUGUCGGAUUAGCUAGUUGGCGGGGUAAAGGCCUACCAAGGCGACGAUCCGUAGCUGGUCUGAGAGGAUGAUCAGCCACACUGGAACUGAGACACGGUCCAGACUCCUACGGGAGGCAGCAGUGGGGAAUAUUGGACAAUGGGCGCAAGCCUGAUCCAGCCAUACCGCGCGGGUGAAGAAGGCCUUCGGGUUGUAAAGCCCUUUUGUUGGGAAAGAAAUCCAGCUGGUUAAUACCCGGUUGGGAUGACGGUACCCAAAGAAUAAGCACCGGCUAACUUCGUGCCAGCCGCCGCGGUAA
This 506-nucleotide ribosomal RNA is filed under the name uncultured bacterium. RNAcentral describes it as "partial 16S ribosomal RNA". It matches the Rfam family "Bacterial small subunit ribosomal RNA", at positions 29 to 523 of the family's 1533-position model. The record is from RNAcentral.